RNAcentral lists this ribosomal RNA (503 nucleotides) under Wilsonomyces carpophilus. Its description in RNAcentral is "eukaryotic LSU rRNA". The stretch from base 129 to 282 matches the Rfam family "5.8S ribosomal RNA". Lineage: Eukaryota; Fungi; Ascomycota; Dothideomycetes. The record is from RNAcentral.
GCUCUGCCUGGCUACUUUUACCCAUGUUUUUAGAGUACCAAAAGUUUCCUCGGCGGCUCUGCCCGCCGGUCGGACUCCAUUCAAACCCUUUGCAGUUGCAGUCAGCGUCUGAUAAACAAAAUAAUUACAACUUUCAACAACGGAUCUCUUGGUUCUGGCAUCGAUGAAGAACGCAGCGAAAUGCGAUAAGUAGUGUGAAUUGCAGAAUUCAGUGAAUCAUCGAAUCUUUGAACGCACAUUGCACCUCUCGGUAUUCCGGGAGGUAUGCCUGUUCGAGCGUCAUUUGUACCCUCAAGCUCUGCUUGGUGUUGGGUGUUUGUUCCGCCUUUGCGUGUGAACUCGCCCUAAAACAAUUGGCAGCCGGCGUACUUGUUUCGGAGCGCAGCACAUUUUGCGUUCAGAUCAGUGUACACUGGCACCCAAGAAGCCUUAUUUUAACGCUCUUGACCUCGGAUCAGGUAGGGAUACCCGCUGAACUUAAGCAUAUCAAUAAAGCCGGAGGA